AUUGAACGCUGGCGGCAUGCCUUACACAUGCAAGUCGAACGGCAGCGGACCUUCGGGUGCCGGCGAGUGGCGAACGGGUGAGUAAUAUAUCGGAACGUACCUUUCAGUGGGGGAUAACGUAGCGAAAGUUACGCUAAUACCGCAUAUUCUGUGAGCAGGAAAGCGGGGGAUCGCAAGACCUUGCGCUGAUGAGCGGCCGAUAUCAGAUUAGCUAGUUGGUAGGGUAAAGGCCUACCAAGGCGACGAUCCGUAGCUGGUCUGAGAGGACGACCAGCCACACUGGAACUGAGACACGGUCCAGACUCCUACGGGAGGCAGCAGUGGGGAAUUUUGGACAAUGGGGGCAACCCUGAUCCAGCCAUUCCGCGUGAGUGAAGAAGGCCUUCGGUUGUAAGCUCUUUCGGUCAGGAACGAAACGGUA
RNAcentral lists this ribosomal RNA (421 nucleotides) under uncultured bacterium. RNAcentral describes it as "bacterial SSU rRNA". It matches the Rfam family "Bacterial small subunit ribosomal RNA", at positions 30 to 456 of the family's 1533-position model. The record is from RNAcentral.